RNAcentral lists this ribosomal RNA (465 nucleotides) under uncultured bacterium. RNAcentral describes it as "partial 16S ribosomal RNA". It matches the Rfam family "Bacterial small subunit ribosomal RNA", at positions 28 to 507 of the family's 1533-position model. The record is from RNAcentral.
GACGAACGCUGGCGGCGUGCCUAAUACAUGCAAGUCGAACGGAAAGGCCCCUUUGUGGGUCCUCGGGCGGCAGACGGGUAAGUAACACGUGAGUAACCUGCACUUGACUUCGGGAUAACGUCAGGAAACUGGAGCCAAUACUGGAACGGAAUCAUUUAUGCAUGGGGGGGGUUGGAAAGCUUCGGCCGGUUUGGCUGGACUUGAUACAUAUCAGCUUGUUGGUGGAGUAGUGGCUUACCAAAGCGUUGUCGGGUAGCCGGCCUGUGUAGGCGACCGGCGACAUUGGGACCGAGAGACGGCCGAGAUACCGACGGGAGGGAGCAGGGGGGAAUACUGCACAAUGGGCGGAAGCCGGAUGCUGCAACGCUGCGGGCGGGAUGACUGUGUUCGUAUUGUAGACCGAAUUUAGCAGUGGCGAUGCUUGUGGUGACGGUACCUGCAGAAGAAGCACCGGCUAACUACGUG